GCGAACGCUGGCGGCGUGCUUAACACAUGCAAGUCGAACGGAAAGGCCCUGCUUGCAGGGUACUCGAGUGGCGAACGGGUGAGUAACACGUGGGUGAUCUGCCCUGCACUUCGGGAUAAGCCUGGGAAACUGGGUCUAAUACCGGAUAGGAGCCAUUUUUAGUGUGAUGGUUGGAAAGUUUUUUCGGUGUAGGAUGAGCUCGCGGCCUAUCAGCUUGUUGGUGGGGUAAUGGCCUACCAAGGCGGCGACGGGUAGCCGGCCUGAGAGGGUGGACGGCCACAUUGGGACUGAGAUACGGCCCAGACUCCUACGGGAGGCAGCAGUGGGGAAUAUUGCACAAUGGGCGCAAGCCUGAUGCAGCGACGCCGCGUGGGGGAUGACGGCCUUCGGGUUGUAAACUCCUUUCGCUAGGGACGAAGCUUUUUGUGACGGUACCUAGAUAAGAAGCACCGGCUAACUACGUG
This 464-nucleotide ribosomal RNA is filed under the name uncultured bacterium. RNAcentral's name for it is "partial 16S ribosomal RNA". It matches the Rfam family "Bacterial small subunit ribosomal RNA", at positions 29 to 507 of the family's 1533-position model. The record is from RNAcentral.